AAAAAGAUAAGCUAAAUAAGCUAAUAGGUUCAUACCCUACUUAUGAAAUUAAAUUUCUCUUUUUA
Molecule: transfer RNA, 65 nt
Filed under: Cyrtanaspis phalerata
Lineage: Eukaryota; Metazoa; Arthropoda; Insecta; Coleoptera; Scraptiidae
Description: tRNA-Met
Source: RNAcentral